This is a non-coding RNA of Salvia hispanica, 341 nucleotides long. The record is from RefSeq and is a predicted model, not a curated record. Lineage: Eukaryota; Viridiplantae; Streptophyta; Magnoliopsida; Lamiales; Lamiaceae.
AUCCUCUCCUCUUCUUAUAUUAUGUUAACGCGUUCGUUGAAAGCAGGGAUUGCAGCCUAGGACAUAUUACGGUAUGGAUACAUAAAGAUUGUAGAGGCCAUAUAUACAAGUGGAACAAAAAGAGAGGAUCAUUGAGCCUAGAAUGACAUUGUUCUAGACAAGUGAAGGAGAUUUUUAUGUAAGAAUACUCAAGAAAAAGAAAGUAUACUGUGAUUGAGCUGAGAAGCCUCCAUUCUUUUGUGUAGACUUUUGCUAUCAUUUUUGUGCUGUAAGUCUCUUCUACAACACUUGGAUUCGCUUGGCUAAGCCGUUACUAAUAUAACGUUUUCUUCUUCCCCGGA